RNAcentral lists this ribosomal RNA (562 nucleotides) under uncultured bacterium. RNAcentral's name for it is "bacterial SSU rRNA". It matches the Rfam family "Bacterial small subunit ribosomal RNA", at positions 117 to 714 of the family's 1533-position model. The record is from RNAcentral.
GUGGGAAUCUACCUGGCUCUACGGAACAACUCAGGGAAACUUGAGCCAAUACCGUAUACGCCCUUCGGGGGAAAGAUUUAUCGGAGUUGGAUGAGCCCGCGUCUGAUUAGCUAGUUGGUGGGGUAAUGGCCUACCAAGGCGACGAUCAGUAGCUGGUCUGAGAGGAUGAUCAGCCACACUGGGACUGAGACACGGCCCAGACUCCUACGGGAGGCAGCAGUGGGGAAUAUUGGACAAUGGGCGCAAGCCUGAUCCAGCCAUGCCGCGUGAGUGAUGAAGGCCCUAGGGUUGUAAAGCUCUUUCACCGGUGAAGAUAAUGACGGUAGCCGGAGAAGAAGCCCCGGCUAACUUCGUGCCAGCAGCCGCGGUAAUACGAAGGGGGCUAGCGUUGUUCGGAAUUACUGGGCGUAAAGCGCGCGUAGGCGGAUUGGUCAGUUAGGGGUGAAAUCCCAGGGCUCAACCCUGGAACUGCCUCUAAUACUUCCAGUCUAGAGUUCGAGAGAGGUGAGUGGAAUUCCGAGUGUAGAGGUGAAAUUCGUAGAUAUUCGGAGGAACACCAGUG